AAUUCUCAACUUCAAAGGGCUUGUCUUUUUGAAGCUUGGACGUUGGAGGAUUAUGCAGGCAUAUUUUUUGUAUGUCGGCUCCUCUUAAAUGUAUUAGCAGGACUUGUACGUUCGGCUCUGGUUUGAUAAAUAGUAUCUAUGCCAUGGCUGAGAAGUCGUAGUUCAGCUUCUAAUUGUCUGUCUGGACUGUCUCUUUAGAGGCAUCACCUUGG
This 212-nucleotide unclassified non-coding RNA is filed under the name uncultured Clavulinopsis. RNAcentral describes it as "sequence contains ITS2". The record is from RNAcentral. Lineage: Eukaryota; Fungi; Basidiomycota; Agaricomycetes; Agaricales; Clavariaceae.